GGUGCACUGUUGUGAGUUGCACUAACAACAGUCGAAAAAAACAGGAUAAAAUUUUUUUUUCGCUGCUCAAGGAUCCAAAAAAAAAUCUUCCGUAUAAGGAAAAACCAAAAGUCAGAGAAAUAUCUGAACGGAGGAAAGAAAAGGAUGUUAAGGAGGUGAAUGGGGGCUGGUAACUAGGUGGUCGUUCGAAACUCUCUGUCAUGGAGUGCCACCAAAGAUGUUCACAGCGUACUCUUCAAUAAAACCACCGCUCGGAAUUCUUCGUGUUCCGUAAUACAUUUUUUAUCUGAAAAAUAUUACAAUAUUACUCAAUCACACUCGCAUCUAAGAAUUACUCAUGAAGGAGUAGAAACUUUUAUACCAUGUAAUUGAAAAUAUUUAAUAGAGUCCAGUCUUUUUCAGGAGAGGCGUGCGAUCGCACGCGCACGCCUUGGCACACGCCUAAAUCGUUUCAGGCGUGUGAUUAAUCGCACGCCUGAAAAAUAAAUAUUGAGUUUUCAAAAUCAACCUAUAAAAUCCAUAGAUCUCAGAAAUUAUUGAAUAGUCCUGGUCCUUUUAAUCCACGAGCAAGCCUAUUCAUAGCCAACCUGACCAUCCUAGCUAAUUCACCGACUCCUGACUUAGUUAAAAGAACUACGUAGACAUAAAUCUCUUUAGCCUGGCCCCUUCGUCGUUGGUAACCAGGUCUUACACAAGAAAUCCAGCCAUGCGGUUCUUAACUAAUGCGGAGGUGAACGCCGACGGAGCACGGAUGAAGCAAGUCUGCAAAACUGCACUUACAGGCGGAAUAGACAUUUUAUCAUGGAUUUAAUUGUAGAUAAUUUCUUCAUUUGACAAAAUAAUUGGAAACCAUAGCAGGUCCGAAUUUAAUGGAUUUUUUCUUUAUGCCUGUAAAACCGAAACCCACGGGCGGUAUAAUUUUUUUUCUGCAAAAAUUUUGUUAAAGUGUAGCUGAACUUUUUGAAUGAAUUUUGAAGUUUUAUUUAAGCCACGUGGAUAAAGAUUUUUUUUAAUUUGAAAACAAAGCAUAUUUUUGCCUAUUUGCUUGUGAAAAAUAAACAAUAAAUAUAAAAAUGACAGUAUAGUCAUGCAUACUAUUUCGGACAUGUAGAAAAGGAAGUUAAGAUUGAGAGAGUCGCUAUACCAGUAGACGCUCGAUCAUCGUGUUUGGGGUUCACGAUUUAAAACGUCCCCCACUUUUCUACCGCAAAAUGAAUGCGCAACAAAAAUAACCUCGGAGCCCGUAUCGCAGGCGUAACAUUCUUUGCACGUGCGUUUUACAUCGCACGCGUUACUUGAUUUACACGUGCUGCGAAUCAUCGCACACCUACUCAAAUAUUCCUGAAAAAGACUGAGAGUCUGUCUCGUGACAGCAAAAACAUUCUACACUUCAGAGGGCAUCCUCUCACAUUUAGGAGUAGGAGCAACAAGGUUUCCAAUGUUAUGUUCGUCUACGUCUUGAAAAGUCGGAACUAGCUCAUCAUUCGCUGUUCUUUCCGGCUCGAAUUGAAAUCCUAGAACCUGCGAAUUAUUUUCAUUCAUUGCUAUCUUCAUAAAGAACUUUUUUAAACAAAGGAAAAAAAUUAUAAAUAAACAUUUAGUCGUUCGAUGCGCAAGUCGCCUAAUAAGAAGCCAGGUAACUACGUCACAAGCAAAAAUGUGCUGAAUAAUGAAUUGACCCAGUCCUUUUGCCGCGUUUGAAAGUUUGUGAAGAUGGUAGGCUAGUGCAGCAAGAUCAAAACAAACAAACGAUGGUGCUAAGUAUUGGAUAAAUCUUUGUUGUUUAAGAGUGCAAUCUUCGUUAUUUUUGAUACUUAAUAAAACAAAAGAAAAUAUAUUGUUUUUUAAUCGGACAGUACCUUUAACAGUAAAUCACCUGUUAUCAAACCAUGCACCAUAAGCAUUUUUGAAAAAUCUUUAACGAGAGAAAUUUUUAAGGAUUUUAUUAGUAACUUAACUGAGUAAUAAUUCAUUGAAAGUUAUUAUAUAUAUUCGAAUCAUGAAGUUCAUACAUAGCAAUCCAGCAUCCUGGAAUUUUCAGAAUUUUUCAGAUCAAGAUCAGUUAUAAAAAAAUCCAGUUAAAGUUUUAACUAUUGUUUUAGAAUAUAUACUAUAUGUAAAAAAAAAUAUUUUUUAUAUAUUAAGUUGUAUUUUACGUUAAUUACAAUAAUAAUUGAGAAUUAGGAUA
Molecule: long non-coding RNA, 2188 nt
Organism: Hydractinia symbiolongicarpus
Lineage: Eukaryota; Metazoa; Cnidaria; Hydrozoa; Anthoathecata; Hydractiniidae
Exons: 2
Source: RefSeq, a predicted model, not a curated record